UGAGUGUUCCUUUUUAUGAAAUUGUUGAUGAAAAAAGCCGAACAAGUGUAAAAUAUUUUAAGAGAUUUAUUCUGAGCCAAAUAUGAGUGACCACAGCCCAUGACACAGCCCUCAGGAGGUCCUCAGAACAUGUGCCCAAGGUGGCUAAGGUACAGCUUAGUUUUAUAUAUUUUAGGGAGGCAUAAGACAUCAAAUACAUUUAAGAAACACAUUGGUCUGGUUUAGAAAGGUGGGACAACUCAAAGAAGGGGCUUCCAGACUAUAGGUAAAUUUAAACAUUUUCUGGUUGACAAUAGGAUGAGUUUAUCUGAAGACCUGGGAUCAACAGAAAAGAAAUGUUCAGGUUAAGAUAAAGGAUUGUGGAGACCAAGUUUCACUGUGCAGAGGAAGCUCUCAGAGAGCAGACUUCAGAGAGCAGGUGGUAAAAUAUUUCUUAUCAGACUUAAAAGGGUACCUGACUGUUAGUUGAUUAUCUCUUGGAUCUGGAAAGGAAGGAAGGAAAACAAAGGGGAAAGGGGACUCAUUAUAGAAUGUGGAUUUUUCCCACAAGAGACUUUGCAGGGCAAUUUCAAGGUAUGGCAAGGAAAUAUAUUUUUGGGUAAAACAUUUUUAUUUUCUUCCUUGUUAUGCCAGAGUCAGAUUGGAAAGUCAAGAUAUACAGGGUUAAAUAAAACCCACCUGAUGAGAAUUUAUGAUUUGUAGGGCAUGACUCUCUAGGCCCCUUAGACAGGAAUUUGGGCAAGAUUUAACAAAUCAGAGCUGAGUCCUCAAAAUCCUAUUAUUGUUUCAUGAAUAUGGUUUAAGAAUAUUAAUUACGGAGGGCACGGUGGCUCCUGACCAUUACCUUUUUCUUAAAGCACUGUUAGAAGAUGCUAGAAAAGAUUAAAUAUUUAAAUUUUGAUAGUUGUUAAAUAUAGGCCAAAUGUGUUACUCUUCCUUCUAUGAAGAAACAGCUAAAAGAUAAAUUAUUACUUCCCACAAUUUCAACUUUUAGUUACAAACUUUUGGGUACCUACAAUGUGCUCAGUGAUAAUACUGCUCUCUCUAACCCAAAGGUUACAAUCCAGUAAAUCUCAUUUUCCCUUCAAAUAACUGUUUUUGGUAGAAGCAAUUCUGGAAUUCUUUCAAUUUUCAUUAUUAAGCAAGAAAGAUAAAGUUAAUUUAUAAAUAACCUAAACAAAAUUAAACUUAUCAAGAAAAACUAAUUUCUGCUUGUUUAAAAAUGAUUAGACAAACUUUCAGUAAUAAAUACAAUGUAUUCAUCCAUAUUCCUAAAAAGUAUUUUACAAAAUCUGCAAGGAAAUAUACCAAAGUUUUACAUUUCCAAGCAUUACCAAAUUUAGUAAUUUGGAAAACGGAAAAUUUUAUACCUGGAAAAGAAAACAAACUGGCCUACACCUAAGUACUCAAAAGCAUGAUAUGAAAGAACUUAAUUUUCAGUUGCUCUGGAUAAAAAUCACU
This 1461-nucleotide long non-coding RNA is filed under the name Homo sapiens (human). Its description in RNAcentral is "HSALNT0211807". The record is from RNAcentral. Lineage: Eukaryota; Metazoa; Chordata; Mammalia; Primates; Hominidae.